GAUGAACGCUGGCGGCGUGCCUAACACAUGCAAGUCGAACGGAGAUUCCGGACGGAAGUUUUCGGAUGGAAGCCUGUAAUUCUUAGUGGCGGACGGGUGAGUAACGCGUGGGCAACCUGCCCUAUACAGGGGGAUAGCAGCUGGAAACGGCUGGUAAGACCGCAUAAGUCGGUUAAAUCGCAUGAUUUGAUCGGGAAAUGAGCAAUCAGGUAUAGGAUGGGCCCGCGUCCGAUUAGCCAGUUGGCAGGGUAAAAGCCUACCAAAGCGACGAUCGGUAGCCGGACUGAGAGGUCGGACGGCCACAUUGGGACUGAGACACGGCCCAAACUCCUACGGGAGGCAGCAGUGGGGGAUAUUGCACAAUGGAGGAAACUCUGAUGCAGCGACGCCGCGUGAGUGAAGAAGUAUUUCGGUAUGUAAAGCUCUAACAGCAGGGAAGAUGAUGACGGUACCUGACGAAGAAGCCCCGGCUAACUACGUG
Molecule: ribosomal RNA, 481 nt
Filed under: uncultured bacterium
Lineage: Bacteria
Description: partial 16S ribosomal RNA
Rfam family: Bacterial small subunit ribosomal RNA
Source: RNAcentral